CAAACGACUCUCGGCAACGGAUAUCUCGGCUCACGCAUCGAUGAAGAACGUAGCAAAAUGCGAUACUUGGUGUGAAUUGCAGAAUCCCGUGAACCAUCGAGUUUUUGAACGCAAGUUGCGCCCGAAGCCAUCCGGCUAAGGGCACGCCUGCCUGGGCGUCACGC
RNAcentral lists this ribosomal RNA (164 nucleotides) under Hypochaeris oligocephala. Its description in RNAcentral is "5.8S ribosomal RNA". It matches the Rfam family "5.8S ribosomal RNA". From Rfam's summary of the family: 5.8S ribosomal RNA (5.8S rRNA) is a component of the large subunit of the eukaryotic ribosome. It is transcribed by RNA polymerase I as part of the 45S precursor that also contains 18S and 28S rRNA. Functionally, it is thought that 5.8S rRNA may be involved in ribosome translocation. Lineage: Eukaryota; Viridiplantae; Streptophyta; Magnoliopsida; Asterales; Asteraceae. The record is from RNAcentral.